Desmophyllum pertusum is the source of this 79-nucleotide non-coding RNA. Lineage: Eukaryota; Metazoa; Cnidaria; Anthozoa; Scleractinia; Caryophylliidae. The record is from the annotation of a GenBank genome assembly.
ACUCCCAGUCUCUGAAGCUCAGUGGUAGAGCGUCCGACCGGUAUGCGGAAGGUCAUAGGUUCACCUCCUGUUGGGAGAA